CUAGAGACGGCUUUUGGCCACCUUUGAGAAUCAGGGUCAAACUUGGAAGGGCCUGCAUUUGUCACACUUCCUCGGACACUAAUUUGGAUAGUUCAGGCCCAGAGACGGCUUCCCGGGUUAGUGUGCCUGACAACACUGAAGAAAAAUUGUGACAUUUUCCUUCCCCAGAAUUACUUCGUUUUAUACAUUUCACUUCUCUUCUGAAAUCACAGCAAUGCCAGUUUGCGCCUUUUGGUCUGAGGAACGCAGGCCCUGGCCACUACCAGGAAAAAGUAUUUACUUUUAAAACUUGAAUGUAUAUCUUUACCGUAUGCCUAGUACAGUAGUGCUUGGAAGAAACAGAUUAGUAAGACAAAAUAUAUGUCUUCAAGAACACUUACGUUCUGAGAAAGAAUUCUGAAUGCAGAUUCUAAUGUCUGUAGGCUUCACUAGCUUCCUGCUUCUCAAAUCCCUUGAAAAGAUGAGAUUUUUUUUUCGUGGAGUUCACGUCUAAUCCUUUGCACAUGGCCUGCUAUCAACAAUCCUCUACAAUGAUUCUCAGCAUCACCUAGGGAGCUUAUGUAAAAUCUCAAAUUCCUGGGCCCUAUCCCCAGAGUUUCUUAUCAAGUAAGUCUGCAUUGGGAUCUGAGGAUUUGCAUCUCUAACAAAAAUUCCUAGGCGAUGCUCACACUGUUGGUGUAAGGUUUCCUUGAUGGAGAACUAUCAAAGCAGUCAAAGCUAUCAAAAUAAAAAAGAAUUCUGAUUGGGUGCAGUGGCUCACACCUGUCAUUCCAGCACUUUGAGAGGCCAAGGUGGGCAGAUCACAUGAGGCCAGGAGUUCAAGACCAGCCUGGCCAACAUGGCAGAAACCCCAUCUCUACUAAAAAUACCAAAAUUAGCCGGGCAUGGUGGAACACACCUGCAAUCCCAGCUACUCGGGAGGCUGAGGCAAGAGAAUCGCUUGAACCUGGGAGGCAGAAGUUGCAGUGAAACAAGUUGGUGCCAAUGCAUUCCAGCCUGGAUGAUGGAGCGAGACUCUGUCUCAAGAAAAAAAAAACAAAAACAAAAACAGAA
This 1053-nucleotide long non-coding RNA is filed under the name Homo sapiens (human). RNAcentral describes it as "long intergenic non-protein coding RNA 667". The record is from RNAcentral. Lineage: Eukaryota; Metazoa; Chordata; Mammalia; Primates; Hominidae.